Molecule: ribosomal RNA, 253 nt
Filed under: uncultured bacterium
Lineage: Bacteria
Description: partial 16S ribosomal RNA
Rfam family: Bacterial small subunit ribosomal RNA
Source: RNAcentral
UACGUAGGGUGCAAGCGUUGUCCGGAAUUAUUGGGCGUAAAGAGCUCGUAGGCGGUCUGUCGCGUCGGCUGUGAAAUCCCGAGGCUCAACCUCGGGUCUGCAGUCGAUACGGGCAAACUAGAGUAUUGCAGGGGAGACUGGAAUUCCUGGUGUAGCGGUGAAAUGCGUAGAUAUCUGGAGGAACACCGGUGGCGAAGGCGGCAUCCUGGACCGACACUGACACUGAGGAGCGAAAGCCAGGGGAGCAAACGGG